This 253-nucleotide ribosomal RNA is filed under the name uncultured bacterium. RNAcentral describes it as "partial 16S ribosomal RNA". It matches the Rfam family "Bacterial small subunit ribosomal RNA", at positions 524 to 776 of the family's 1533-position model. The record is from RNAcentral.
UACAGAGGGUGCGAACGUUGUUCGGAAUUACUGGGCAUAAAGCGCACGUAGGCGGUUCUGUGUGUGUGAGGUGAAAUCCCACGGCUUACCCGUGGAACUGCUUCGCAAACUGCAGGACUCGAGGAUGGUAGGGGAGAGCGGAACUCCUGGUGGAGCGGUGAAAUGCGUAGAUAUCAGGAGGAACACCGGUGGCGAAGGCGGCUCUCUAGUCCAUUUCUGACGCUGAGGUGCGAAAGCCAGGGGAGCAAACGGG